Molecule: long non-coding RNA, 43244 nt
Organism: Monomorium pharaonis (pharaoh ant)
Lineage: Eukaryota; Metazoa; Arthropoda; Insecta; Hymenoptera; Formicidae
Exons: 2
Source: RefSeq, a predicted model, not a curated record
AAUUAAGUAUACUCAAACAAUCUUUUUACCUUUUUAUAAAGACAUUAAAUUAUAUUUUUGCAGGAAAAACUGUAUUUUUUAGUUACAUAAAGUAUCUUCUUAUUCAAGAUGAGGCGAAGGUACUCUACAACGUAUCCGAGGUAUAAGAGAAUGCGACAUGGUUUAAUAAAUUUAAUGAUUGGCACGAACAUAAAACGCGCGCGAGGAAACACCUCACCAGGGAUACUUUUUAUCGGGUUUUUCUUUUCGCGCUUGAGUCACUUCGUUAAUAAAGAUGCGGAUUAAAGAGACGCGCGAGGCGGGACCCAGGAAAUAUACAUCCCGUCAUGUGCCUUAUCACGUGGACGUACUUUUACCACUAAUCGGCUCGUCGUAGAACGCACGGUUCGCAAAUGCGGGCGAAUAACUAACGAGAGCUCGUGCAAAGAGGGACUUUUACGAACGACCGCCAUUAUUCUACCUCACCUUGAUACAAAGAAAAGAUCUUACGCUGCGUAUUCGCGACGGUGCCCUUUCAACACGCCCUAGGGAGCUUUGAAUUAGAAGUCUCCUUUCCACAAUGCACCGUCGCAGCUCGCCGUUUUGUGCAAAUGAUUUGUGAUUUAUGUUACUAAAAGGAUACGUGUAUACGACGAUCUAAAAACCUUACUCUGAAUCUUUGAAUCGCAAUAUUCAGAUAAUUCGAGUGUCGAAUAAUCUGAAUAAAUCCAUCAAUUUAUGCAAAUCCGAUAUCUAACGUUCUGAGAGCGUUUAAGCAUCACAAUUGAGUAUCUGAAAUUAAUAUUCGAAGAUUCACACAUUUACGUAUUUGUAAACUUUUACGUCUAUCUUCAACUUCGUCCGCUCAACUAACGAUGAUAAGAAUAAGAACAGAUUAAGAAGAGAGCACAAAAGCUCACGUAGUGAGGGCAAAAAUGAGAGAAGGAGGGCUGGGAAAAAGUAUACAGGUAUAUUUAUGAAUACGUCGCGACUGCCCGUGACAGCCAUUGAAUCUUACGGCUUAGCCACUGCAGAACUGUAUAUUUAUAUGAGAGUACAUAUCAUCUACGUGAUAAUUACAAAAUGAAAUUUCUAUAGAAAAUUUGCCUAAGCGUCGCUAUAUCUUUCGAGAUAUCUUUAACUUUGCUUCGUAAUAUUUGCACUGGCAAAUUUACAAGAGACAAGAAAUUAAUUGAGUUAGAAAGAGACGGGGGUUUCUUCUCGACGAGAGAAAUACCCCAGUUUGCGACAGUCACGAGAACACGUAACGCUAAGAAAAUAUCAGUUUAUAGAGAUCCCACCGCGCGUUUCCGUACGUUGCAGCGUGAGUGACAGUCGUUUUGUACGUAUUUAUUACCGACUUCGCAUACACCGCGCGUUCUGUACGGAGAAAUAUACGUUCCUCGGAGCAGGUGCGCGAGAAGGAGAGCCUGGGGAAGGGGAGGGGAGGGAGGAAGGGAUGAAACGCGCGAAACGGUAUUUCGCGGCGACGCGGAAACUUCCCGUCGAUUCCCCCGCGUCGACGAUUUUCCUCGACGGGUUCCCCGACAAGUUGCACCCGCGACACUUCGUAUGUACCGCCACCGCCACCGCCGCCACGGUCAGGACGACGCGAAAUUUCCUCUAUGGAAAUCAACUUUCGUUCGACAGGUGCAACCGGGGCGCGCGCUCGUUUGUGCACGUGUGUCAACGUGGCGCGCCGAGCACUUCCGAUCACACGCCCCGAUAGCUCCAGAGACGUAGUAAAUAUGCUGAUUUAUUGACGAAGGGUAAGGUUUGAAUACACACGGGUGGCGAAGGGGCGCGUGUAUGAUUUCUCCGGGACUCGUUCCGUCGGAUGACUGGUAUAUUCGUUGAUAUAUCUGUCAAUUGUUGUCGCCGAGCUGAAUAUUGAUUUUCCUCCCCGUCUGAAAACGUGGGAGGAUUACCUUCCCCUAAUACGAGUGCGAAAUUAAAGAUUUUCCCAAACCCAUACAAAAGUUUUCAAUUUAGGACACGUUCAAAGAGACAUUGCGAUAAACUUGCAAAUUCUGCAUCGAUCUCCCUCUUCAAAUUUCGUACCGUACGGAUUAUUAAUCACUUGAAUUAUUAAGCGCCCAGGUAAGUAUACAUAUUUUAUCUUCAUUGACAGAAGAGCACUUCGCGCAAAGCGUACAGUACGCGUGAUUAAAUAAAGUUGUUUUUUAAUUACAGUUUACGCGAAAGCCACUCUUCAAAUCCCUGGAGACAGAUUGAUAUUGAUGAUAGUCACGUGCCAGACAAAAUGUAAUUUUCACGUCUUUAACGCGAAUUCUGUCGCAGGAAUAUUAAAGCUGCUAGGAAAAUUAGAAUUCGAAUCCCGUGGAAUCCGAAUCGCGUCAAGGCCGCUCGUCAAUUUCUCACGAGAGAUUGCGAAAUCUGUAAAUCGAGAAACUUUUGACGCGUCAUUAAAUUCUGGUUGACGACUUCGCUUCGACAUACAGUCAGAGAUCCGGCCGGAACUUUGCAACGUUUCUUGAUAAGAUUCUUGCUGACGCUAUAAUGAAAUAAUAAUUUGUGCCGGCGUUUGCUAAUUCAAUUACACGAAAGUCGCAUGGAACUCGUCAAUUCUAGAGUUUUAAGUGCCGUUCGCGCAUCUAAGAAUAAGGAAAUUCGAAGAAAAUCUUCAGCUAAGAUAUUCAAGGCACUAUUGAAAGAUUUCGGACGUCAAACGGUCUCGAGAAAUUCGAACGAAUUUUGAGAAAGAGCUGUAAGUUUUUUUAAAUAUUAAAAAACGUGACCCGAAGUAGUCACAUUUUAAUAUUAGGGGUAUGUAUAUAUUUUUAAAUUCCAAAGUUGAACAAAUGCAAAUGAUAGUGCACUGACCGCACAAUUGAUCUUAAUUUAACGCUCGAGAUUAACGCCGCUUUAUACAUUUCUAUGUAUAUUCCAAUAUUUCAGAAUGUCUGCCUCGCGUGCAACGGAUAUGCACAAUCGAAAAUCCGCUUAGCGGAACGCGUGACGGUAGUUUCGGGCGUUUCGCCGGGGCUGAUCGUAACGUCCUAAUUUGUGUAGCGUACGGUUCUCACCGUCCUCCUAUCGUCACGAGAGAAGGAAACACACGGCCACAUGGUAGCUAUAACAGACCCGGUGUGUUAGUGUAACGUUAUGGUCUGUCCGGGAGAGGUGCCAGCUGGCGCGUCGGGGAAAAGUAAAUAAAUGAACGCGUAAAAUUUAACUAAAUUUCGAAGUUUCCGUCGACUCGGGUGUCGAAACGCCGGAUUUGAAAUGCGCGUUUCGUUGCGCCAGCGAGAGAAUCGUAACUGCAACCUCGCGUAUUACGUAAAUUGCGUAACCCACGGGACUGUCGCGUAAAACAAUGCACAAUACCUAAAGCCAUUAAACACACAACGCGCGACGGAUCAAGGAUUACAGUUAUCAUUUUCCCAUGUCGCAACGUGCACGUUAUAGAAUUACUGUUCGCUCGGCGUGCACACAAAGCAUUAACGAUCCGGACGAGUGGAAGAAGUUCCGCAUUUCGUAUUCGAUUUCCAAUUCGUAUUCGAUUUCCUAGUGGCGUGCCGCUGCGGUUUGUUUCCUUUGCCAAAAGACCUCGCACACCUCGGACGCCUUUGAUACCCCUUUAUGCACCCGCGAGGACAACGCGACGAGUCGGUGGAAAGCCUCACCCUCCUCUCCUCCCCCCCCCCCUUUCCCGACCCAGCGGAAGCUGCGACGAGCUUUUUCCGAUGCCGUUCGUAUAAAGGACCCCAUGUUUACGCGCACCUGGAGUUCAGAAACGACCGCGACGCACAAUGCCCGCAACAAUGGAGAGACUCUACACUAGCAUCUCCUCGGCGCACCCGCGCACCCUCGUCGCGCCAACGAUCCGCCGGGAACGUGGAGUUUUAUGCAAAUGAUACAAACGCACUCGGCCUUAUGAAGGCGAAAUAAACUUGUUCGGGAAAACCAAUGUUGUUUUCUUCAACAGCACAAACGAAAAUCUGUUAUUUUCGAAUUUGCAUAAAUUUUCGCACGAGAGUCCUCUAAAUUGAUACGUUAUUCUAGAAUAGUUUUAUUUUUAGUCUUUUUUAAUAUUAAAACCCCUCAAUUGUUUCAAUCACGCGAUUGGAUAUCACUAUUUUUCGGUUUACGAGAUAUUUUCAGAGAUUUUUUCUGGGAAUAUCUCUAGUUUUUUUUUUUUUUUUUCGGUUAUUAGAUUUCGGGGCAUUCGAUCCGGAUCCUCGCGGUCCAGCUUCUUCGAACGUUUCGGCCGCCGCACGGUGGUCGACCGACAGCAAGGGUGGGGAAUUUUAUUGAAACGAAACGUACGAUGCGAACGCGAACGAAGUAAUAAAAGAAAAAUAUCGUUUGCUCGGCGUGCGCAAUUAAACGCGGAAUUAGUCCGCGGGCGAGCGAGGGGCGAAAAAAAGUAACACCGAGCGCUGGGGAAAGGUAGGUGGAAAUGCUCGUUGGAAACACACGCGCGCACGUAAAGUUCUCGCAUCGUUGCAACGUUCGCGCUAUCCGCGGGGACACUGCAAAUCCGGUUAAGCUCGCUUCUGAUUUCAACGUGUAUCCCGUGUGUUGCACUCCCCUGUGAUCUCUCCCUGCUGUCUUUUUGUCUACCAUACACUUCCUUCCUUUCGUUCUUCUUUCUCGAUCUGCCUUCUCGUUUUCCUCUAUUCAACCCUUGUAAUCCAAUAAAUUUAUACGGGUGAUCUCUUAUAACUCAAAAAGAGGAUUAUUAGGUGAUUAGAUUGUAGCCUACGUUUAUCCGCCGAGUUUUAUCGAGUAUUAAAUCUAACAUCAAAUAAUUAAAUAUCUACUUGGAAUGCUGCGGUGGAUGAAUUUUCACGUAAAGAAUUAAUUCAAGUUAACAGUUUUUGCUAUUAAAUUUUUGAUAGUUUAACACUUGGAUUUUUUUACAUUAAAAUAGUAAAUUGGUUCAGUUAUUCUAAUGCCUUGCAGUCUUUAAAAGUUUUUAAUCAUAUGGAUGAAUUUUCACUCAGAGUAAUGAAUUAACGUAAGAAAAAUGUGAACAGCACUCCGGAAGUUAAAGUGAGGACCAUAUACUUUUACAUAUUUCUUCUGCAAAUUCGUAAUAAUAAAUUUCUUUUAUAAUUGUAUAUUGUUCGUUCGAGAUUGCAGAAUUACUUAAAUUUCUUGUUCCUUAACGAUGGAUGAGCAGAGUCGAGAGCUCGUCAAUGUUUCUCAAGUUACUAUUCUAGUUUUUCAUUUCGUCGCAUGCCAAGAAGCCGCUACUCGCCGGGGGCGAGGGUGUACCGCGGAAUGCCAUUAGCGGGCGGUCGCAAUACCGCCGCAAGUAAUAUCAGAAAUAUCGAUAGACAGACUUCGUUCCGUUGCUGUCCGGCGGACGCGGCGGCUCUGAUAACUCUCGCAGAAAAUGCCGAGAUAACGGCGGGGGCUUAAUUAAAAAAUACUUGCAGCCUGCCGUAAUUACGCGGAGGACUCGUCGCGGGUGAAAGAGAAAGCGGAAGAAGAACAGGAGAUGGAAAGGCGCCCGCGAGAUCUUGUCAAGUCUGCCAUUUGUCUGUUCCGGUGCGUCGUGUCUCUUUCUUUCUCUCUUUCUCUCUUUCACUUGCCUUUCCGUCUCUUCUCUCUCUCUCUCUCUCUCUCUCUCUUCUUUCUCCAUUUUCUCCUCUUCCAAGUGCCCCAUCGACCGACGGUCCCUUGUCGUCUAGGCACGUCUAGGGUACGAGCGGCGUAAACAAGUGGACGCAGUGGAAAAGUAAUUAACGUAUGUGCGUUUGAAACACGAAUGCGGGUGAAAAUGAAAAACCACACGUUACCCGACGCCGCAGUAAGAGCAGCAACGAGGGAGACGGAAGUCAUGGACGGAAGCAAGAGGGAUAACUCGGUCUCGUUGGCGGUGCACCAGUUUAUGCAUUUUUUAACUCCGACUGCCCGGUUAAUUCCCGAAGAGACUCGUGUCGGUAAAAUGGGUUUUUAUAUCAUCACGCGCUCCUCUCGCGCCGGUGAUAUUAACGUGAUUAAAAGGUGCCGAGCCCGGGAGAGCGAAAACCCAAGUAGCCGAAAGUUUCCCGCGCCGGAGUUGAAACUUACGGAGAUAUCACGCCAGACGGUCGAGGGACUUGCCCGCAGCUUUCUAAGAACAUCCAGAACGCACGAACGUUCCGCGAAUUUCCGCGUUGACAUCUGUCGUGUCGAUAAUUACGAUCAUUAGACAUUCCCUCGUGAAGUUGACGCAAAGUUGCAAUCCCGCGGACGGCCGCGAUUAUCCUCGGAGACAACGUCGACGACGACGACGAUAACGACGAUGAUGGAAAACACGGGAGAACCGCGGCCAUUCGCGACGAGCGAGGGAUCCGUCACGAGCAGCGGUGCCGCUCGCCCGCGAGAUCGUCCAAGUUCGUCCUCGAGAAUCGUCGUCGUGGAAGUUAUGAUUAACGUUAAUUUGCGAACGCGAACGAGCGUGGCGUCUAAGUCGAGACCGCGAUCGCGCACCCCGCCGCGCACCCCCUACAUUCGGUUGUCCCAUAGAUAUUUCAUGCGCCGCCUCUCGCCCCUCGUAUAUCAUUCGCCCCGUAACACAUGGCGCCAUCCCCAGAGGGAGAGUAGCUGCACGGGGCCCCUCUCGCGCCCGCGGGGGCGAAGCGUUGCAGACGGCCGGCGUGUCUCGUCCCGUAAAGCGAAGACGAAGGAGGAAGGCGGACGUUGUACGCUUUGCACGGCUGGCUGGCUCGGAUGGCUGGACGGGCUGGCUAGAGAAGAAGGAAGGGACGGGUUGAUGCCUUAAUUUAUCACCGUGACCCACGUCUUCUAGAGACGUCGCCGCGAGGCGACGUCCAUCCCCAUCGUCCACCCCAUCACCCUCCGUUCGCUUGUCCAGUAGAAUGGCUCUUAAUCAGCUCCGAUACGGCCGUCUGUUGUCGGUAAACGGCGGUCUAUUGUAAAGCGGAUUCCGUGCUCCGAGUUGCGACCGGAGGUCAACGUUCCCCGUCGAAGAACGUCGCUCGGCACGGGGUUUGUCCGUCGAAGAUAGUUUCGUGAUUCCCGAUCGGUGGCGCUUAAUGGCCGUUCUCUAUUGUCGAUUAUCGGAUUAACGUUUUUGACUAAACGAGCAAACGUAUUCGGAGAGACGCGCAUGAAUAUUAAUUUGCCAGAGAUGAAAUAUCCCGCGAGAAACCCCCGUUAAAGUUUUGACUUCAUACAGAUCGAAGCGUUAAACAUUAUCCAGAAAUUUUAAUAUCCAGUUACCACGCGAAUUUUUACUACUACUUUGUAUACACGCUAACGCGCAAAUUAAACGCCAAAUUAAUUUUGUAACGAAUCCAGUUAUCUUCGCGUUUGCGUAAAAAUCAAAUAUUUUCUAUGUUGAUGAAAAAAAACCACAAAAAUAAACUAACCGCGGCAAGAGUAACGAGUAACUCGAACCAGCGCGUAAUAAGGGGCAAAGAGGUAAUGUUUGCUCUCGCUAGGCUACGAUGCGGAAUUCUCUUUCCAUCGCGGAAAGGGCGUUUUCUAGGCGCAGUCUGCCGCUAAUUGCCGACGCACCUGCCCUUACUCGCGUUUAUGCAGCAGUCGCAGCGUUGCGCAACAAUUAAACAAAAAACCGGGCGGGCGUGUCGCGUCCGGAUUUAUGACGUUCCGUUUCUCCAUCUCCGAGACGGGUCGACGCGAUCGAUAGAUUAGCCAGCCAGCCCGCGAGAUCCUAUUUGAUUCUCAAGUGCGCGGCUUUGUCGGUCGAGAGCCCUCGUUCGAUUACGCCAACCAAUCGACCGUGAACAGUUCCUCGAUUGCGUUUCAGGUAACGAGAAAAACAGCCGGCCGUACCUUCCCGGAGCACAUGUUAAGCGAUCGGAUCUAGCCGAGCGUGAAGAAGAAACCGUACAAUUACAAGUAACCGGGCGGACGAUAACGAGAUUCGACUACUAGAAACAGGCAUUGUUUCUCUAACCGCAUGGACCACGUUUGCGUAACUACACGGCUCUCGUAUAGCGCAAUAGACGUCCGACGUUACGAAGUAUAAGGGACAAAGAUUUCGAUGGGGGAACAUAAGAUUCUGAGGAAAGUAGGUAUCUAAAGGUACGUAAAGAUUCGGGCUCACGGGAGCAGUAAAGUUUCCGAGGAGCCGAGACGCGAGAAAGUUACGAUUUUAAAGCUCGACGGUGUCCCAUCGCGAAUCGAUAUUUCGACGCGCGAUGAAUAAAGAUCGUACACAGAUUAACGUACACGUGCGCGACUAGAUUGCGAGUAUUAUACGGCCUUGCUACGUUUGUGGCUGGCGGUAAUUCCGAUCGCGGCAGAACUUCUGCCGUAAAACAUCAUCAAAGCCAUAUACACGCGCCGGGAAAUCAAGUGGAAAGCGCCGCCACCGGAAGUGCUAUUUUCGCAUUCACCGUGCGAACUAGAUAACUUGCCGAGGGGGUAAAUCCACAUGGCUGAUAAUUCAUGCAUCCCCUUUCUCCGUUUCCCCCGUUAUGCCCGAAUGCUCCUCGAAAGUACCUAAUCGUCUGAGGCUAAAGAUCCGUACAAAGAAAAGCAGAGAUAAAUGAACGUAAAUAAGAAAAUUCAAAUUUAAAAAAAAAUAUUAAAACGUUGAGAAUUAUGAAGAUUCGAGCAAAUCGAUGAUCUACAAAACUCCAAAAAUUCACUUGUGCGGAGAUUCGAUCGUCCAAUGUUGGAGUAGUAGCUAUCUAGCAAAACAUCUAACGGGGAUACUUGGGUGAGUGUCUGGUAUUCCGUGAGGGCGGAUACGUGAAUUGAAGAAUUGCGGGGCUUCGUGGAUCCGGAAAGCAGUCUGUGCCGGAGUGUUUCCGCCACAGCCAAUACGCGCGCGGCACCAUAGGGAAACACGAGACGGAAAAGGCGGACAAAGUUGUUGGCGAACGAGGUAAUCCACGCGACUGGUAACAAAUCCGCGCAUCCCCUUUCUCCAUCUUCUCGUUACGCCCGAGAACACACGACGAGCUUUGCCGUACCUACCCUGCUUACGUACGUACGGGGUGUUUGCUCGGUCACAUUUACAUAACGAAAUAACAAACAGCACAAACACAGUCAAUUUUCAGGUAUUAUUAACUCCUAAUUCAAGAGGAACGCGAAGCCCUCGCUGCUCCAGUUAAGUUCGUCUUGGAUUUCUAUGUUAACUGUGUUAAAUGCUUAUGGCGACUGCACUUUACGCUCAUUAAACUUGUCAGUAGUCUCAAUUGCUCCGACCGUAUUGGAUCGUCUAACGGAAGAUCGUUCUAAAAAAAAAAAAAACCGUUCCACUUGGUCUCACGCCAGACGGAAUUAUCGUGUCGCGGGAAUAUUGUGGCGCAAAGGUCAGUGCGACGUGGCAAAGUUGCGCGUUAUUGAUCCGGACUAACUAGUUGGGUUUGGCCGCUCAUUAAUGCGAUAUUUCAACCGCUAUUUCGUUGCGCGUCGAGACAACACAGGAGAAAAUUCACAUUUCAUCUCUUUUGCAUCAUUAUUACAAAAUACCUGUGAAAUGCGCUAUCCGCAACAUAAAAGGAUUAUUUUCACGAUAUUUAACGCGGAAUAAUUCGACAGUAAAUACCUACGGCAAAUCGUGGCCGUGCAGCUUUACACAGUGGGCAGUUUAGAGUAAUUUACGUGACGUAAAUUAACUGAGUAAUUAAACUCCGGACCAAAUUUCCCCCCCCCCCCCGAGGAAAAAUGCAAUGCAAAUUACUUGGGGAAAUUCUUCCCGUCGCGCGACCGCUUCGAGAAACCGUCAGUACUUGAAGUCACUUUGCCAAGCAGUUUGCCAAUCCAACAAGAUGAACGCUCCGCCGACAGAAUUCCCCUAAGCGCUAUCGCGCGUACCGUAUCCCGCGAACAAAUUUCGCAUAAAAUUACGGGGGACGAAGAUUCAGGGCCACCCGAGCCACCGCGAGGUAAUAUUUUUAGCGUACGCGGCCGCGCACGCGAGGGAGAAAGAGAGAGAGAGAGAGAGAGAGAGACGACGUCGAAACGUACCGGCGCAACGACGAGGGUGCGAGGGAAAACCUCCGUUCGUGGAAGGCAGUAACGUAAUCCUCGGCAAUUUGUCAUUCUCCGUGUACACUGUUUCUUAUUUUACCCGACUGGUGGACACGACGCCACACCGGCGAACCAGCCACCGCCCCUCGCGGGAGAGUAAAUUAUGCGUGGGGGAGGGGGAGGGGUGACUCUUGAUGGUGGCUUUGGCGGCGGAACCCGUGUAAGACGAAACCACCGCGAUAAGGGAAUACGAAGGCACUGAGGAUUCCUGACAUCACGAUGGAUGCCUGACGCCUCUUGCUUCUCAAAUUUUUAUGUCAUUGAAAUAUUCCGUUGUCUUAUAAGUAAUAGCGAAACUACAAUUUUGCUUUAGUGGUCUACAAAUUUUACAAUUUCCUUAAUCCUCGAACGAAUUCUAAACUCUUGGACGGUCUAGAUGGUCUAGAAUGCCGCGAUGUCUACAUCCAGGAAAUAACAUUCAGAAAGAAGGCAAACGUUCUUCCUCGGAGCCUUUUACACGAAAAGGCGACUUGCCUGCUUUUCGCCGUGUCACUCCCGGCGACUAUCGUUCGGGGAGGAGCAGCUCGACGGCGCGGCGGACCAUCGACGUCGACGUCGACGUCGACGUCGGCGCACGUCUUCAUUAUAGAGACGCCGCCUCGCCCGUCGGUGAUUCCGACGGCGAGCGAGCAUCACUUGUGUCCGACUAGCUGAGGCACGUCCGCGUGACGUCGCGAUAUGAUAGAUUGCACCUUCGAGAUGCAUCCGUAGGUAGCCGAGGUAGAGAGCGCGCGCGCGCGCGCGCACACAUACCGCGAUACCGAGGCUGUGAACGUGUGUGCGACUGGCAGUAACGUCGCGUCGCGUCCAACCCGCUCACAAUGUGCCUGCGGGAUCAAGCGGGAUAUUCGGAUACGUUGCGCUACGUUACGGCCGUGCCACGGAGCCAUUCCAGCUGAAAGCGACGAAGUUAGUUGCCCAGAGCAUGUAGCGCGAUCGCCGAACUAAUCCCUUACGUUCUGCACGCCGGACGCCCGAUCGAUCCUCGUCACCGACGCCGACACCGAGGCAGCAGACUGACUGUAUCGAUCACGAUGCGCUCACGGCCAAACCGGUCGGCUUGGCAGUCGCGAUCGCUGUGAUGGACUGGCGUGCAGAUAGUAUGGAAUACUGGUAUGUAUAUCGCGAGACUGUAUAAACAUGUCUGCGGAGAUGACGAUCCCUCAUAUAGCCCGCUGCGCAGGCCUACGGCACGAGUAAUGGGAUCUAAAGUGAGAAGAAUAGCGGGUGUAUCUUCUCGAGGCAACAAAAGCCAUUUUACUCUAAUAGAAAUUUAUCUCGAUGCUCCAUUACGAGGACGUAACGUCGAAAAUUAAAUUUUCGUAACGUAGGCCAUCCAACGUAAAAUUUGCUAAAAAGAACAACCGAUGUCAGACUCGUCGUAGAAAGAUCCGGAUUUACGAUCCGGGAACGUAGAUUAGACUUUACGCGCGUAGUUUAUAAGAGUUUUCGAAUAUUAAAAAACGAGGGGUCGCUCGUCAAGCCGCGCGGAGCGGGAACGACUGUAGCCGAACGAGUUAGCCGAGCUCGGAAGUGUGGAAGAAGGUAGAUGCGCGGACAUUAUCCGAGGGCGGGCAGAUGGUGGAGCGUAAACAACGUUCAACGAUCAGCGCCGCCGAUCCGCGCGCGCGCGCCGACGACUAUACGGCAGCGCAGGGAUGGCCCGUGCUUUCAACCCUUCGUCACCGCGCUCUCCGCGCACCGUGCACCCGCGCUCUACGGUCGGCAUAAAUCACCGCGCAAGUUAUAUUAACGGUAUUUCACACCGCGGCGUUUCGCGGCACGCUAUACCUAACACAUCCCCGCCGGUUGAGAAAAGUAAAGCGGUUGGGCUAGGUCGAGGUGCUUACCCCACCGGCGAGAUAGGGGAGUUGCCCCGGAUGGGUUUCGCACGAAGAUUGCGUCUCACCUUCGCGGAAUCACCUCUGCUAUCUCUCCGCGCGCCCAAAGCCACCCGCGCUCCCGCAUAUAAUUCACUUUCCACGAGGGAAAGAACACCGGAGGGGGUAAGAGAGGGGAAAAGGGCGAGAGAGAGAGUGUGUGCGGAGAGAAUGUGUGGAAGAACGUGAAGGAGUAUAGGGCUCUGCCCAAGUAGUCGGCGUAAAUAACGAUCGAUAAUCCGAAGGGAAUUCGAGAGGCUACGAUGUCACGAUGCUUAGAGCGAUUAAAACGCUAAGGACCCUUAAUCGUUCGUGCUGAUAAACGUCCCGAGUGACGUCUUCGGGGCGAAAGAAAAAUGGAACGCGAGUUACUCGGAGAUAAAGUUGCCGCUACUUGUACACGCCUUUCUCUCGUGGCACUUUGGAGAACGACACUUUCGUAACCGUUUUACGAGAAGGAAUAUUUUAAGCGACAUCAAAGAGAAUUCAUCCUCCGAGAGACCGGAACUUUCCCGUUCAUCGACAAAGUUCCGUAAAUCGAGCUAUGAAUGUAAGACGAAUGUCACUAAGGCGAAAGAUUCUUACGAUCGCGUGCAAGAUUGCCGAUCGAAUGUUCGACUUGUUCUUGCACAAGGUAUACUCGUACCUCAGAGAGAAAUUAAAUUGCCAAAGUUACGCUCGCCCAUUCGGAUAAUCUCGCAAAAUAAUUCUGAUACCAUUCGGCCGUGCCAGAUUCCAUAGUUUCCAUCAAAAUUCCACGUUUUCCAUAUAAAUUACGUAAUAUUUCAUAAUCGAAUUAAAUAUUAAAAUACCAUAUUUAAAAGCCAAUAUAAAUAAAGAUGUGAAAAUAUUUAAUAUUGAAACGCGGGAUCAAUUUAAUAUCGUAAUGUUUUAAUAAUUUAAUCCGUAAUACGACUGACUUUCUAUUCGAUGUUAAUCGGACAUAUUAAUUUCAUUGAAAUUAUUUAAUUAAAAGAGCUGGCGAAGAUUGCAUUCGAUAUAUACGCGUUAAAACAAUAAUUUUAACAAGUUAGUAGUUAAAAAUCGGCGCACGAGACCGGAGAUGUCGCGAUGUCGCAUUAGUCACGAUCGCGUACGAGCGAAUUUCCUCCACUAACGAAAGAUACUUCCGAUGACUUGGCAUGCGGAACCGCAUGAUUUUCCGUCUGUUGCGGUUACAGCAGGUGGCCAGUAACAACUUCAUGAAAUACAAAGUUAGUUGCAGCUUUGCGCGGUAUUUGCGUUGGACUAUCUAACGUCGGAGCAAAACAUUCUGCCCGGCUUGUUUUAGAUGUUACACCAACUCACCUCGUCCCGUUCCCCGGCCUCCUCUCCCUUCGAGCGGACCAACUUUGCAGCUCCGUUACAAUUUCAGAAUCACAACGAAUAAUUUUGUGUCACGGCGAAAUUAUGCCGGGUACACGCGCGCCGAAAGUAACUCAGUUUAAUCGUUAUAAUCCGCGGGUCUCGUCCCGUUCUAAUUUCAAAGUUACGUUACGGUUAUAGCGAUGCACACACGGCGAAACGACUCGCGUAGCUUUCCGUAGCAAGAUUAUCCUGUUUACGAUGAAUUAACACUAAUUGAGGAACCGUUAUCCGAUUUGGUAGAAACGUAGAGUAAGCACUGAGAGGCUGUUAAAGCGUCGUGGAAACAGCAGUUCGCCACACACGUACGCACACACACACAUCGAUUAUAUAACUUGGCUCGGUUAAUCGACUCCUUAAUCUCUAUGCGGAAUCUUUAAAGAAAAUUGCAUGGCCGGCGUGCAGGCUCUUGUUGUAGAUUGCACGCGCCGUGGAUUAUCGUUUAGCCAGAUACACGACAUCGAAGAAAAUCAAGAGUUAUAAAUUAUACGCGCUGUAACUUUAUAGCUUUUUUUCAAUCCCCGCCUGGAGCCACGCGAUUAUGAUUCCCGCGAGACACUUUGAACGACUUGCUGGCGUCGCUCGUCGCUUGUUAUUUUUAGAUAUCAUCGAGACACGCACGUACGUGCGUGUAUACCUGCGUACGCCAUGCGUGCGUGCGUGCGUGCAUGCAUGCAUGCGUGCAUGCGUGCGUGCGUACAUACGUGCGUGUGUCAAGCAUGUGCGCCAGUCAGAUACACAAGUCUGCGUCGAAAGGGAAAUAAUGAUUUAACUACAAAUGUUUGCCAUAUGUUAAAAAGGGGAAGCUACAUAAAUCUGUGAUCAAAACGUAAAGUUAAUUGUUAAGGAGCUUCCAAAAAUCAAAUGUUAAGCUGAAGAAAAAGGAAACGUAACUCGCUCUUAUGCCUUGUCUACAAUGAGUCGUUAGUCGUUGGUCGUAAGAAAUUUAGCUAAUCACAGUUGAUCUUAGAGAAAGUGAAUAUAAUUAGUUAAAUUUCUUACGACCAACGACUAACGACUCAUUGUGGACGAGACUUUACGCGAUAGUUUCCCGAUAUCUUUAAUUAAUUCAUCGAUUCUUUGCGUCAUCGCUGGAUCACUGAGUAUAUUCAGAAGUUUGUGUAAUGUCUACUCUAAAAAGUAAACUCUUAAUUCUAAACUUCUUUCGCCACCAGCUGCGAGUUUCGCUACGAGUUUCGUUUCGGUAAGACUCGAUAAUCCCAGCUGCACAAAUAAAUUUCGCGAUCGAAAUGGAAAGAAUGGCGAGAGGACCCAACACGUCGAUCCAGCUUUAGGAAUGGCAAUUACAGGCUUCAUUUCGCUGGAGCUCCAAUUAUCGUCACCAUUCUUUGUCCGAUGGACCGUCAAUUCCGAGCGACGGACACGCCGACCUCGAAGAGUGGAUGAUGCAUCUCUCCUCUCGUUCCUGGACCGUUUAAUUAAAUUUGCCGAAGACUGCCGUUCUCGUUAGGAUGAAAAAUUCUGUUUCGCGCCUGUAAGUCCCGUUGUCUCGGCGCCGCGCGCUAAUGUGAUAAUUACAAUUAAUUUAUCGUCGUGCCUCGCGAAAGACGAUGAGGUAGCGUCGGGUGGAGAGGACCGAAGUAGACGGACUGCGCGAUCGAUGAAAGGGCAACAUUCGAUUAAAGCAAUUAUCCCUAUUAGCGUGCGCUUUGAGCGACAUGUUGAUAAUCUUUCAGCUAAAUGCAAAGUUCUCAAUAUAAGAUUUGAUAUCCUUUGAUCUUAAAUAUUCUCAACCUUUGUACUUCAGGAAUCAAUUAAAUUUUUAAGCUGAAACGUGAAAUGAUAUCUGAAUUGCGAUACAAUUGCAUUCGCAUAUUUAACUUAAUAAUAAAGCUUUUUUUUAUUAUACUCGAAUGUUUCGAUGUAAUCUUACGAUGAUCGUGUCUUGCAAUUUUUUUUCCGUUAUGAUUUUACCGAUUCAGCUUUUUCUCGUACAUCCAUAAUAAAAUAUCUAUCGAUCUAUGCACCCGUCUCUCACUUUUUUAAUUUCCAUCCAAGUUUCUCGAGCAGACUCGAGAAGAGACGGCUGUUAUUGCGUUUGAAGCGCGCCGGCUUGAUUUGAUGGAUUGAUCGGUAAACGGAAACGACUCUACAGAAUUUUAUGCCGUAGGACAAAAAAGACGGUCGCCCGAAACCGCCGAACUCGCGAUGGAAACAAUGCGUUUAUCGAGAUGUCGCUUGUGAAAAAUAAAAAAUCAGAGAUUGGACCAAUUGAUAUAAAAUUGUUUUUCUGUGAGCGCUGCGCGAUCGAAAACUACGCGAUCUCCUACGAGAAUGUACAUUUCCAUUUGUGAUUCCAACAACAUCUAAUUUAUAUUAUGUGCUUUAAAUAUGUGCAUUUCUUUUUAAUAUUUCAUGUUUGUUCUGCUUCCGAAAAUCUGUUUCACGCGAUGCACAAAGAACGAGCGGGCGAAGGGUGUGCGAAAGAGGUGAAAAGGAAUGAAAAAACAAUCAAGCUCUGCCGACGAAUCAUUCGAGCGCGAAUAGACGGAGUAAUAAUAAUCAUCAGUUGCAUCGGCGACGCCCGAUAACAAAUCCCGGCCGGAGAGGUGACGGCGAAAGAGGAAAAUAAAAAAAAAGGGAGAAAGAGAGACACAAUCGCCGAUAAUAAAAAUAAAAUUGACGUUGCCCCGGCGAAAAUCGAGCGAUUUUUCGCUUCUCCCCUCCCCCCCCCCCUCGAAUCGUCGUCCGCGACCAUCCUCCCGCGUCGCGCAUUCUUUUUACUCCGUUCUAUUUUUCCGACGCGUCGCGUCGGUUGCUCAUCCGUCAACGAAUCGAGGAGGAGGCACGUUGUCACGCCGACGCGUCGCCGGAAACGGUAAAGCUUCCGGCGUUAUUUUGGACUUUUCGCCGCGCCGUAAAUCAGCGGCGCGCUGGCGCGCGCAAUUCUUCCAAAACUCAUCCCGAAUCCCCGCGAGGGAGAGACUGAAAAACUCGAAAGACAAAAUAACAGCAUCGCAUCGCGAUGGCCGCGUCUGUCACGUCGGUCCUGUCCGCGCAGUCCGAUAACGCAUCCGAUACGUGUUUAUCGCGCGCUACGGCUAAUGAGAUUUCCGACGUGCAAAAAGCACAAAGUGCGCACGCGCGCGGAAGCCAACCCGAAACAGCCGCGGUUUGAUAUUCGAUUAUUACAAGUUUCCGUCGGCCCCGUUACACCCCCGAUUGAAUUAAUCCGACCCUUUCAUGCAAUUACAGUCGCGGGCGUUCGAUUAAACCGCGAGAGCCACGCGCGAAUAAACCGUAAACGCGUAAUUAAUCACCCUCGUAUUCGUUGCGAUUACUAUGGUCGAGUGCUCCUCUACAAAGGGUGUCACGAGUUAAUCAUUGUUAUUCAAGACAAAUCCUCGAGGCCGUCAUCGCCCUGCCAAUGAGGACGCGACGAAACUUUAUCGGCCGCGGUGAAUUUGAAACGAGUUACAUAAUGCUCCAAAUCCAGUAAUUCAAUAGAGAGGAUCAAUAUUUCGAGGAAACCGAGGAUGCUGAGUGCUCCUUAUCGAUACUUCGUCGCGAUUUUAAUUGCGUAAUAAUCAGCUUUGUGCACUCGAAUCCUCAAAUCUACCCAGUCAAACAUUUACAGCAAUUGCAGGUUUUCUAAUAAUAACAAUAAUGUACAAAUAAUCAAAAUAAUUUCAACAACCGCAAGCUUUUAAUUUCUUAGCUUUCACGUUAACGACUCUCUUCUUCGUUCUCUCUCAAAAGGAUCAUAAAACCUUUCCAGCGCGAUGAAUAUAAAACAAGUAGCGCGACGCGCGUUUCGCCGGACUUAAUAAUUCAAGCGGAGAAGCCGAGGCGUCUGGCGAAAUCGCAACUAUUCAAUGCUCCUUUUCCACCCAAAACCUCUCGUUGAUUCCUUCUGGUUUCUUUCUCCUUUAUGUCUCCACGUAGCGCUCCGAGAUUUUUACGGGUGUCUCGUGAAAAAGAGCGCGGUAGAAGGAGGUCGCUGCGAGGCAUGGUGCACAAGCAAAGAGGUAUGAAAUUGAACCCAGCGUACUUGCAACUUGCGCUCUUUGAGCUGGGGCUAAUUAGCCGGACUCCCUUCAACAAGGUCAACGGCAAGAACGACGUACGAGCGGGUUAGGUUGGGCACUUUUGAGGUUAAUUCAAGGCUGCGCGCCGCUAAGCAGCUACUACGGACCACACACACGUAGAAUGUAAUUUCUGCUUUAUUUUCUGGAGAAUGGUAGCGACGUCCUGCACAUCGUCACGGAGCUUCUCACGGCGAAUGAGUGUUUGUAGCCUGGACGUGUUUACUGUCUAGAAAACGCUUCGUUUAAAUCCUCUUUUGCAAGGGAUGCAUGCGCGGAUCACGUACCGGGCCAUCGCCACGUUUUUGUUAGGACGAAUUUCCUCAGUGGAACAAGCAAAUUUUCAACUUUACUGGUGACUCGUAAAAUUCUUCAUUUAUUGAAAUAGAACUUUGAGGAGAGUUGCUCCAAAGAGAAGAGAUUUUCCGUCGCAACCACGGGGAAUAGAAGUGACAAAUAUGGAACGAUCAAAAAAUUUCUCGACUUCCAACGUAAUCCCAAGUAUGUAAAAAAUUUUUUUCAGAUUAAAAUAUUUCAAGUUUUUUUAAACUUUUAAAUACUAGGACUCUUAAUUACGGAAACUAAAAUCAAAUAGGAUAUUCGAGUUGCCGCGACACGAGAUCUUUGGAAUACUCCGUUGGCAAAUGAAGCUUCACAACCGUGUCCUUGCCACGUAUUCCAGAGUGAAACCGCACGUGCCCGCGGCAGUGCCCCGUAACAAGCAUUUCCCUGGGGUCCAUCCGAGCUUACCCUUCACAGCAUCCGGCAGGAGGGAAGCCGAUUGCUUACGGCGAAUCCCAAUAUUUAUGCGGGCAAUGAGGCGCGCCGCCAUAAAUAUUUUAUGCUCCGCCACUUUUCGAAUUCAGCGCGCGCCCGAAUAUGCGAGAAAGAGAGGGAAAGAGAAAAGAGAGAGAAAGAAAUAUACAAUGGAACACAAUUCUCGAAAGCUCGUUCGUCUUCGUUCGUCACGAAUGAUGCCUUUCCUUCCCCGGAAUCGAUGGCCCUUAGAUUUCUAUAGGGAUCUUGAAUAGACCAAUAAAAGUAUUACGAGUUUUGAAUGCCCUAAUCUGCGGAUAUUACUACUUGAAUAAUGAAAUCUUUCUUAAAUCUUCGAUUGAAUGUCCUGAUGUGCGCGAAUUACCUAAAACAUUUUUAGAACGAUUUUUAUGCUUUAGUGCGCAGUUUUUGACAAAUAAUAAUAUAAUUUUUAUUAAAUAUUUUAGGCGCUUAAUAUCGCAUCAUGAAAGUUGUAUUUAGCUUUUAGGGAGGGAAACGAGCGUUAUGUUUUAAGCGAUACGAGCGUGGGACGUAAAACACGACACGGAUCAUUGCGAAAAGUGCCAACUCCACUUUUGUCGGUGACAUUGUUGGAGGGAUCAUUACCUCUGAAUUGCUUGCACCAACUACGAUCACUUACGACCGCGUAUAACGCGCGCAACGUGUAACUGGGUUACAGAGCGCUGACAGCUACCGCUGAUUUGAUUGGUCAAUUACUCGAGUUUGCUCGUUACAAAGUAACAGCUCGGACCUGAUAAUUUACGGAAAUGAUAGCUGAAAGAGUUUUAAAAAAGGGAUGUUGCGAAAUAACAACUUGACGUUUAUCUCACACGUUCGCUCUUUAAAAAAAAAUAACUUCCAGGAAAUCUAUUGUUACAGAUCGUCCACUGUUUUCUUAAUAGAACAAAAGAAAAAAAUGUUGUCUAAUGAUUGCUUAAAAGCCGAGAUGACAAAAGAAAUGCGAAUUUUAAUAAUUAUGAUAUAAAAAUUUAUAAAUACAGAACUACGAGGAUUUCCCCAAAAUUGAAAUAAAAGUCUAGUAAAAUAUCUUUUAAUUCUAGUAUUCACAAAAAAAUCACAAGUUUUCAAUGCUCGAAAUAUAUUCAAUAAUAUCGACAUAAAUUUAAUGAUAAUUUAAUAAUAAAGAUCGAUAGUAAAGUUUCAGUUGAUUUUACGAUAAUGACAGUAAUAUCACCAAUAAUGCGAUUUAGUAUUAGUAUACUAUGUAACAAACUAAUUGCUUGCGUCAAGUAAUAUUAACGUGAACCACUUUAUUCGCGAUCCACAUGCAUUAUUGUCUAGCGAUGAAGAGGAGCAUUUAGCAUCUAGUAAUUCUGUUAUGCAUGCGAACAAGCGGAUUAAUAAAGCUGAUAGUUUACGUCGAGUAUCGAUUCUAUUUUUUGUAGCUUCAAAAUAUUCAGUUUCGAUAACCGAGACAAAUUGGAAAAGAACUUUAAAUGUUGAAAUUUUUAAAUUAACCGGCAUACUGGCGUAUAAUUACAUUUUCAGACCACCAAAUCCUCGUAAUCUUCAUAGCUCUCUAAUUACAAAAAUACAUGUGCAUAAUAGUUCCCGAAUGAUUAAAUUCGAUAAUUUUUUUUAAAUAUCAUAUUCAGUUCUCGUAUUUAAAUUCGAAAAAUUUAGAGUACCGAGGAUUCUUCGUUCCCUAAAUCCACGGAUUAGCGUACCUUUUGUUUGAAGUUCCGCAUCUUAAGUACGCUCUGCACGUCGAGAUACUAACGUCGAUAUAUUCUAGCGGUAGCACGGCAAGAUGGCACCCGAGUUUCGCACAGAGUCCAUGAUUCAUCGAGCGGUGAGGCAGUCCAUCGGUUAUGCCAAUGCCGCAGUCCCUCAUCCGCGGCUUACCCUUUCCCUCGCACCCUUCUAUAGCUGCCGCUUAACCAUCCUCCCGUGUUCGGACAAAACGUGCCACCCUCCGCGACAUAUUGCGUAUGAUCCCGACCGAACGGCCAGGAAGACAAAUGGUCGGGAUGCUAAGACAUCUUCGAGCUACUCCAACCAGGAUUAUUUCGAGAUGAAGACAGCGCCGAGCUUCCUGAAUCCAGAAAGCGAUGUAGUACCGCAAAGAAGGGAGAGGGAGAAAGACAGACAGACAGACCGACAGAGAGAAAGAGAGAGAGAGAGAGAGAGAGAGAGAGAGAGAGAGAGAGAGAGAGAGAGAGAAAUAUGAAGUUAACUUUGGGAAGUCGCGGGCAGACUUGAAGUACUAUCUGCCAGGCAAAACUUAUAUUUUAAAGCUAGUUUUGGUGGCGGGCAAACUUCACGCGAAAAUGUCUUUCCGUGUAAUGUAGAGUGCACAGGACGUAAUAAUAAAUACGGGACAUCGUAACUAUAUUUAUGGAGAGAUCGUGAAUCUCCGUAUUAUAAUUAGACAAAUUCUCGGACAGAUUUAUGAGUCGUGGAAAUUCCUGAAACUUCCGUCCUCGAAAUCACAAACUCCUUGUAUAUCCGUAGAUUAUACAUUCUCUAAAUUUCUCUCUCUCUCUCUCUCUCUCUCUCUUUUUCUAGCUAUCUAUUUUUUUCUUUCCAAGAGAAAUUCUAAGAUUCUUAUGUAACCUGUAGUUUCUGAAAAUUUUAGUUUCUUUAUUUCCCCACAAAAAUUCUUAACAUACAUAUCUAUGACACAUAUUAUUUUUCAUAAUUCUAGUAUUAUUGGCAAAAUUAAUAUGGCUAAAAAUUUUUUAAUCGAGGAGAGGGAAAAACUGCGAUAUCACCGCAGUUCCACUGCGGAGAAUAUAACGGGUGAGCUUAAAAUGGCUCAAGGUCAGUCGAUAUCGAUUCCAAGACCUAGAAGGUUCACGGGGUCGGUACCGAUUUGCGUCAGUGCCGUUCUAUAGAGAAGAACCUGGCCUCGACACGAAAACGUUCCAAAUUCUUAACGGAUAGCAUCCUGGUACAACUGCAUUUUCGCCUUCUCGACGCCUACCGACGCCGGUGAUGUACAGGUGCAGCGACCUACUUUUCGAAGCGAGUCACGAGCGUCGAUGCAUAUGUAAUUCCUGUUCUAUUACUCCUUACGUUGGGAAAGGUCGCAGCCAACGAAAGAAAAUCUCUCUCUCUCUCUCUCUCUCUCUCUCUCUCUCUCUCAUACACACACACACACACAAAUACACGGAGUUUCGAGUUUAAUGACGACGGGAGUUUCUUGGUCGACGACGGAUCGGGGUGUUCUGCGAAUAGAGAGUUACAUAACUGCCGCAUUGUCUUUUCAUCUUUCGAGUAUUCCCUGACUUUAUAUAUCGCACUCAUACAAAUUAAAUUUGUGUUGAGUUAAUAUUUUCUCCUCACGAAAUCUGAAGAUACUACGCCCAAAGGACCUGAGCGUUUCAAGAUUCCAAGAAGAUAAUCCGUGUAACUAUAAACUAUAAAUUGCUAAAACCUUACUUAGAUACAUCUUUGGAUUUUUAGACUUUUUGUUCCACGCACUUUCGGAUCUCUGAGACGUCAAGCACGAUCUUUCUCGUUUUUAAACAAUCCUACGAGUUAUCGUUAAUGGAACAUCGUCGGUGAUACAUCGUCUUCUCGCGCUUCGUCUUUACCUCGAAGAACAAGAAUGGAUGUAGGACAAUCAUGUGAGCGAUCCCGAUAGGGGAGAAGCACUUCAAGUUCUCUCCGCAGAGCGUAACUCGAUAUUGCAUUAAUGCGAUAUACGGAGGAUUUUGAUGGCGGCCGAGGGCCAAGUCGGUUGCAAUAUUUCGUCGUUCCGGUGUCAUAUGGUGAGGCGCCCAGGGGUAUUGCGUUUCCGUCAGGGGUUAGUGGUGGAUUAAAGGGGAUACGUUAUUAAGAAAUGGUCGCGGUGUCGCUUUACAGAAAAGACCUGUGCCCGACUUGCAAGAAACGCAUGGCAAGGUACGCGUAAUUACCUUUAAGAUCUGCGAUUUCUCGUGUCGCGAGUGAAUGUUUCAUAAAUCGCAAGAUCUUUGAAGUCCGGACUUUCAGGACUCUUUAUACAGUUUUCAUUAGAAGCGCGAUUAAUAUUUGAAAAAUAUUAGACCGUCAGUGAGACAGUUUCGAAACGACGAAUUUUUUUUUUUUCUCUCUAAAAGACUUUCACGAAAAUACUUCCGAAAGGCAAGCAUUUAGGUUUCUGGCAUUCUCUACAACACGAAUUCGUGCGGGGUAUACUCAGGCGUGGCAGAUCCUCGUAGAGGCAUAAAAUCGUACGCGUCAUACGGUAUGCUACAGUGGACACUAAUCGACGUGCGGAGGGUUAAUAAUUCAUAGCGCACGCCCCGUAUCUCGGUUCAAAACGUGAUCCAUCGGCAAGUCGGCUGCAUGACUACUUCAUUACGACGUAAUAAGCGUACAGCCGGUCCGGUCGAUGCUCUACUAAACCAGAACCAGAAACAGUGAACUCGAACGGAGCGGAGUCGGUACACAGAGCGUGCCGGCGAAUGAGCAGCGGGAUGAGUUGGGAACGUAGAACCGCAUAAAGGAUGAAAGGACGACUUCCCGAAACUCCGAAGCGUCGCCGCUCAUAUAAUCCUCGAGCGCAUUGUGUCUUUGACGCCGGCAAUGAUAUUGGCACUACGGCAUUAGCGCAUCGGGCCAACUUUGACGACCUGUGUAUCAGUGUCAGUGCUCCUCUCAGACAACGCUACCUAUUUACACGACAAAUUAGUUUACUUGUUCUUAGAGCGAGACAGACGUCAUGCCUACCAUUUGCAGCUGCUUGUAAUUUACGGUCAAUUACAGUCGGUUUUCAAGUCAGGAAUAUUAGACCGGCGCAACUGAAGGCUGUCGAUUAUAUAUACAUAAAUUUUGAGAAAAAAUUUUAGGCAAUUUCUUGGAACAAUCGCAAAACUCCGUUAAAUGUAAAAAAAAAUAUAUAUAUUAAUUUUUAAUUUACUCGACCAUUUAAGAACGUAACUAUCUCGCGAAAAUCUUUCCUUUCCUGACGGAGAUCCGUUUCGUGUCGUUGGUAUUUAAAUUCUACACGGCACAGAGAGAUAAAUCGCGGUGUAAUUACCUCAUUUAUGCAGCCGACCUUUGUACAGAACAUGUCGCGCUAGAAACGCACCCUCCUUGCAAUUACACCACAGCUCCAAGGUAUUUUAUAUUGCAUUAAACCAACAGCUAAAAGUGCAACGGCGCGAUAGGAAAGACCAAAGGGUCCGAUGUUACAGAAGAUCCUGCGAUUUCUUCUGCAGCUUUCCGGAAACGAGGCGACGUGCAUCGCGCGUUAAAUUUAAACGGAGCGAGAUAUAAUUGGAGUAGAACGAUUGAUCGAUGACGCCCAUUUCGUGGAACCGGACAAUGAUAUAUCUCGUACAGGCGCGGUCAUUGAUCUAAUUAAUACCGUUCGCCGCUACCAUUAGCGUGCCGUAGCAGCGGCGCAAUCGAACACAGGUCGAACUUAAUCAGCGAAUGUCUGCGCGACGAUGCGGAUAUGAUGCGGCGCUAAUUGGGACAAUCUCGCUUGCCGGCGGAUCACGCAACGCCAAGAAAGAGGAAAUUCUCAUUCUCGGUAGUUCAGUAGAUAAAUAAUGAAGAACGGGUCGAAAAGAUAGAGGUGGCUACCAUCUACGAGAUACAUCUUAUCCUCGUACGAGGAACGCGCAGUUAGUCCACGCGGAAGUUUUAUUAUACGCGGAAGAGUAAUGUCGACAGCCAACGCCGACGAGGCGGUAAUAAGAUAUAUUUUUCAACGCGUGCUCUCGUGCAGGUUUCGGCGGAGCCGAGUGCUAGCGAUUUUAUUUAUGACGGGUGUCUACUGGCCCUAGCAGAUACUGCCUUCUGAGACAGUCUAUGUAACACUGUUACGUAUGAAUCUCCGUAAAACAUAAAUAUAGAUAUGCGAAUGUUCAAAAUUCACAAAUUCGCGUUUUGACAAGUCGCGAAUCUAUGAGCGUACGUUACGCGUACUUUUCUAGACGGAAGUCUGUGUUUCUCGAAAUGCAACUCGAGAUAGAAUAUCUACGAUUUUGUUCGUGAAUUUAAAAUUAAAAUAACGUAUAAAAGAUGCAAUUCUAUCUGCAGUUAUGAGCUUCUAAAUGUCCUAUAAACACAUCAUAAAAAUACAAGGAUGUGUACAUUCAAGUAGAGAAAGAUCUGUGAAAAUAUUGUUGGCCACCAAACGAGAUAAAUGCAGAAUUGUCAAAGAUAUCUUUGCACCCGUCAAGAUAAAAAAUCCUUACAGAGAUGAUGUGAAAUACCGAGAUAAAUGUAAAAACUAUUUUCACUGAAAAGUACAAUUAUAUGGAUGUUCUAUGAUUAAUCUAAAGAUUUAUUUGGGACACGAAGCUUUUAGCAGCAGAAGCGUUUACAUACCAGAUAAGCCGGUAAAUCUAGAGACCGGCUAGCUAGAGACAGCCGGCCAAAAGCAAAGCUGUUAGUAAAGCAAACUUCACCGGGUUGAAUUAAAUUAAUGCGCGGCACGGCGCGCUGCGCGGCGGGAGUGUACUGCAGUAACGAGCGUGCCCAAAACGCAGCGAUUAUGUGUAAAACUUCGGAUUAAGAUGUAACACUACGCUAAGGAACCAUCUUCCUAGCCACCCUCCAUUUUUAAGGCAUGAAUAAUUACUUGAACAACUCCGCGAGUACUCCUUAAUACGAAACAGCGAGUGUGCGCAGUGUUUCCCCUCCGCGUCCGGGCUAAUCUACGAGACACCAUAAAUUUAUUAACAACGAAAAUGAGUUAGUCGAUAGUAACGAGCCGCUUAGUCCGAGAACGCUCCGAGCCUCUCCGACUUUUCUCGUCCUUCUCGUCGAUAGUGUCGCCAUUGCCUCGCUCGUCUCACCCUAAUAUUCUGGGAUAUUAAAUACCCCUGCCCGAGCGGAUAACACAUCGCCCCGAAAUUCCCCGGCGAGGCGAAAUUCCUCGCUCGCCCAGCUCGGGAAAGAGAGACUGCAAAGUGAGGAAGGACCGCGCGGCUGACGGAAACAAAAAGAUUAUCCUUAUUUUCUUCCUCGAUUCCCGUUUCUGUCACGUUCUUACCGUAAUUGUAGCUGUACAACGAUCAGAACAAUGCGCCAUUAAACUGACAAAUAUUGAAAUUCGAAAGAAGAUAUUGGAGUGGAGUCUAAUGACGGUCCUAUAUUAUAUUCUUACGGAACUUCGUGUCUAACGAUCGUAGAAUUUUAUAGACUUUUUUUUUGCCAACAAUAAGAACCUUCUAAAAAUUUACGGACGUUAAUACUCGUAGUGGCCCGAUAUACCGCGAAGUUACGUUGAAUGACUCAGGAUACUGUCGUUACUUCUAAGAGUAACUUCACGACUUUUGCAACUUAGACGAGGCAACGGGGAGCAAGUAGCGUGUAUCGCUAACAGGCGAAAUAUCGUUAAUAAAAUUAAAUGGAGUAGCUCACGCACUCAACCCAGUCCUCCACCAUCUUGGAAACGUACCGCUGGCAUUCUUAUACACGCAACAAGAUUUGAAAAUGUACUCCGUGCUGCGAUCUUAAUUGCAUUUAAGGCUUGCGCGUACGACACUUUUCGUGACGUAAGUCGUCUUAUAACAAACGAGAAACCAUAAAAUUUCGUAAACACAUAUGUAAUAUGCGUGUGAGCAAAAUUUCAGUAAGACAUCGUUGCGGCGUCAAUAUAGUUAAAUAUAAUCCAGUUAUUUCCAAUAAGUACUGACUUGACUAAUAAAAUAAGACAAAACGCAUUACCCUUUUUUUUUUAAACUAUAUACACAAUCACGAAAUUAAUUGUCCGAGCACAAGAGUCCUGAAUUUAUGUUAUAAUUUCUCCGAGUUAAAGAAAAACAGUAUAUCAUUAAGAUUGCAUCAGAUCUACGCGUCAAUAAAAUUCUAAGACGCUGCGAGUACGAAAAUAAUUACGAGUUUUCUUAAUAAACGGAAAACCGUACGCGCUAUUACCGCGGAUCAUUAAUGAAGGCCGGGACACGAAUUCGUAGAUAAAAGAUCGUGGGGAUUGACGAGUGUAGAGCUCUGCGAAAAGAGUUUCACGCUGUCUCGGUAGUGCGGUUCAUCGUUUACCCUUCACGCGCGGCUCCAGUGGGAACUCUUGAGUCACGUUUCCCGUUCCCGGGGACAGAAAUCUUCUCCCCGAGCUCUAGACACGUACAACAUAUAACCAACGUUUCGCCGGUUCCAACUUCAGGGACGAGUACGAGCGAAAGGGGAUCACGCAAGGGCCGGGCCAUAACCGGACGAGGAUCCUCGACGCGAUCGUAGAAAGGAGGCCGGGAUCUCCCCUUUUCUACGCCGGUGAAAACCUUCCGAGAAACUCUUCCGCUCUUCGUAACCCCGUAACCCUUCCGUCAUUACGACGCAUUGGGGAUGCUAAACUCUUCCGGGAUGUCUAGCCACAUUUGUCCCUUCGUUCACAGUCGUGCAAGUUGUACAUACAGCUGGGCGCUCCCUCCCCUCCGCUUGACUCCCCAAAAGUCUUGAGUUAGAAGUCAUUCAAAUUCGUUCAUCGUGUUUAUUUCAACUCUUUUAUUUACGUUGCUCAUCGACUUUCGCGUUCAAGUGUUUGAAUGGUAAGCUAUUAUUUACUCGCAGUUCUACGUACAAUUACGUUUUCCUGCGAAUGUAGAAGUGUUCUCCUCUCUCUUUGCAAUAAGAUUGUAAAAAAAUAUACGAAGCGUUACAUGAAUGAAAAAAAAUUUCUCAAUUGGAUGCACGAGGCAUUUUACAUAGAAAAUGCGUAUUACACUGUCGGUGCAUGACAAACUCGACUUCGGCAAAGUAAUCGCUGUUUCUUCUCGUUCCGGGAACAUUCAUUCACGAAACAUUCACCGCAAAGCAUUUUCAAAGUGUUUUCAAGGAAAACUAUUACGUCCUAGAUACUCGACUACUUUCCUCUUUCAGACAAAAGCGUUAUAGCGUUUAUAGUACCUCAAGAAUUUAAGAUUAUCGAGCAAGUACCUUGACAAGUAGCGACAGAAAUUUUAAAACCCGGAUUCAGAAAAUGUUAUGAUAUAGUCUUCAAAUUUUAUACAUAAAUCUUCGAUUUUACAAAUUAUUAAGCUGAAAUCAUCCUUGAAUUAAUUUUCGGUACCUAGAUAAGCCUCAGACUCAAUUGAUUUCAUGGCACUUUUUAUUCUCCAGGGAUUCUUUGCACCUAACAGAUUUUCAUUGCAGACAUGCAAUUGCGGUAGAUGUCGCAUUCUCGCAAAAUUGCGGAUCGCUUAAUCUCGCAGACGUACGAGGAGCGAAGAAAGAUGGAAGAGAGCGCACCGAGCGACGUGAAAUCCUAUUAAGCGAUCCCCAGCCUCUAUCUUCAUCCGACGCGUCUGAUGCGGCUGACGUCUCGAAACGGCCAGGAAAUGGAAUGGAUGCAUAGGAGCAACAGCGACGAUGCCGUGGAAACAGAAAAGAGGCGAUGGACGACAAGGAAAAGGGGACGCAAGGAGGCGCAAGAGUGAAAGGGAUCUAAAAUGGAACCAACCGAAACGCCUGUCGGGACCUGAAUUCCCUUGUGGAAUGGAGGAUCAUCGUUACCGGAAGCCUUCGACCGGAAAUCUCGCUAGCGGCUCGGAAAGGUUUCCACCCUCUCUAUUUCGUUCGCUCCUGAUAUGUUUCGGUCAUUCAAUUUACACUUGUCUCUAGUUUGCGCAGUUAAGACGAGUGUGCCGCAUAUCGUCAGGGGAAAUGUGAAAUAAACGUGGAUGAUUAAAUAAAAAUUUCGAGAGACAAGAGGAUACAACGGUUUCGCUAAAGUAUCCAAAAAUUUAGCUGGGUACAGAACUAAACAUAAUUUUUUGUUGAACCAUCAAAAUAAUUAUGCAAAAAUUUAAAGUUAAUUGCUAGAAUUCAAACUAUUUUUCGUAGCGUUGCUCAUCAUGCCUUUCAUAAUCAUUUUAGUCCAACAAAGGAUUCAACAAAAAAUUACUUUUAAAUCCGCAUUUGGUAAAAUUUUUUAAUAUUUCAGCAAAAUUUUUCUUUUCGUAGAGAAGAGAUUUGAAUAUUUUUCCGAAUAAAUUAAAUAAGAGAAGAUGAAUAUGGAAUUAUAGCCUUUCGACGUUAUUAAAUUUUUAUACGCUUUCAGAACAGAUUAUUGUACACCUAGAUGCUUUUGUAUAUAAAUUCACCUAGCGUCGUAGAUUGUAUUUUUAAGCGUAGACAUCGUUUUUCUAGCGCGUCCAAUACUCAUACUCGCGGGGAGGAAGCAAAAUAGUUGAACAACCCAAAUCUAAACAUCUCAAAUGCAUAACAUUUUAAAUCCCAACCCUGAGCAUGGGAUUACACACACCAUAAACCUUCGGCGAGAUUAACGCUUUUUCCGGGGCUACUUCGUCCGGCCGCAAUUCGAUUCGACAGUCGAUAAGGAAUAUGUGUUUGCACAGCACACAUCGCCGGUUUGCGAAUGCUUUAUGGUGUUUGCAUUGAUUUCUAUCGAUGACAGAGCCACAGUAAAUAUUAUCGGAGGCAGCUACACCGAGGAGUGAACCGUGAAUUUAGAGGCUUGCGGUUUAUUUUCGCGGUACACGCAGACGUAUGAGCUCGAGGACAGAAUAAUAAACCGCCUCCAUCCCUGUCUGCUCCUGGAGCGACAGGCGGAAUGCACACGCGGCGGUAGAGAUCUACUAUUUAUGUAUAAAAAGAAAUAUAAUCAUACCGCACGCUUCAGCCAUACGGUCUUUACUGCGCCGAGCACUUUCGUACCCUCCGGGCAAUUAACGCUUUAACCGGCAGACUACAGUGUAAACUACGGUGAAAAUUUGUGCGUUUCUUUUUUUUUUAUAGCAAAUUAUGCUGUGCGUUGUCCGCAUACAAACAACAAAAUGUUAUUUCUCGAUUAACUUCCCUUAAUUUCCCUCCGGCGCCUACGCAGCUUGUUACGAAGGAAUAGCUUAAUGUAAUUAAACGUUGAAACAUGGUACGUUAAACAAGAUAACAAAGUGCCUUUUUCGGAUUUUAUUCACUACCAAAGAAUUGAAUCUAAUGUAUUUAAUUUAUAAUUUUAGAAACGCAAUAUCUGCGUUUCAAUUUUAUCCUUGUGUAUUUCUUUUUUUUUUAAGUAAACAUGAGAAAAAUGCGGAGACAUCUCCUCAACGUGAUAUUAUUCGAGGCUAGUCUCUCUUGAGGAAAGAAGUCAUGAGUAUUCAAUUUCUGCUCUAUCCAGAAUCAGCUGGCAUACGGCCACAGCGAGAACAAGCGGGUUCUCUUUUGUGGCCGACGAUAUUCUCUAGAAAGAUAUUUGUCAGCCGGCGCUACCUUAACCCGAACUGCACUUGACUCUGAACCGCCGGGGAAUUGACCUGCGCACGAACACACGCUUCCUUUUCCAGCAUAUUCGCUACCCAAAGCCAAAUGUCACGGCGUAACAUAAUCCACAUAAGACGUAGCUAGCGUAAGACGUAGGCGUAUAUAGCGAAUAUGAAAGAUAUAAAACGCUGAAAGUGUAAAACACGAGAUAUGCAGAAUACAAAGCAUGGACAACAUAGAAAAGUUAAAAAAUAGGAUAUCUAAUACCCAAAGAGCUCUUGUGGAUAAAGAAAAUUCAUGAGACCGGUUGAUCCUAAAAUUUAUGUUUUCAUAAAUCUGUCCAAAAAUCUCUGAAUUUAAUGAUUUUUAAAAUUUUUAUGGAAUUAAAUAUAAAAUUUGUCAGAUAUGAAAACAACAUGCAACUAUUUUCUUGGUAAUUUGAAAUAAGAUAUUUUUAAAUUUUGACAAUUUGACAAAAAUUCAAAUAUCUACGUAAAUGCUUAAGAAUCUUUUAGAAUUAUGAAUCACAUAUAAGCUUGUAUGCAGCAUAUUUUGCUCGGAGAAAUGCAUUCUAUACAUAGAUGCAUAUAAAAUAAUAUUUUUUUCUGCUUCACGAGCGCGCGUCAUUUUUCGCCGGACUACGAUUGCACGGAGCAAUAAUCCGAGAAAAAAAAGCGGAAAGAAUUGCGAGACAAACGGAAAUAAGCACAUCAAAUGUAGGAUUACUGCACCAGUCGCUAAACAAUUAUCAAUAUAAAUGACAAUAUUAUGACAAAAUAAUAAAAUUUUUAAAUAAUAAAUUGCAAAUUGAUAUCUCAGAUAUAAUUUUUGUAGAGAUAUUUUAAUAAAUACCUUUUUACUGAAAAAUAUAAUUAUAUUAAGUUGUUCUUAAUAGUUUAUUGACUCUUGUGCAGUGAUCUUACACCUUUUGUUAAAAGCGUGUCGUAGAUUUUAUCUCGUGUUCCUACAUUGCCCGUAACUGUCCGCAAUUUUCAAGCUGAUGUGACCACAAAAGCGACCAGCCCACCACAAUGGUCGGACAAAGUCCACCACGUUUGUUUUUCUUUGCCUUUUGAUAGAAUUACGGAAAUUGAUCUCAAAGAAUUUAAUUCUUUGAAUUUACAGAUCUAACGAACUUUUAUAUAAAUGUUUACAAAAUAAAAAAAAUCUUUAAAUCCAAAUUUUUGAAUUUGUAAUUUUUUCUUAAUUUAAUGGAUUGUAAUCUAAGAUAUUUAUUAUCGUAUGGAAAAAGACAGUUUUGCUUAAGUAUCUAAAAAAAUUUGCUAAAUACAAAUUUAAAAACAAUUUUAUUUAACCAUUAAAAUAAAUUAUGUAGAACACAUUCUAAUUAACUAAAUUGUUAAAAUGUCAACAUUUUUGCAGCAAUGCUCAUCAGUAUGCUUGAGCGUUCUACAUAAUUAGAUUGAUAAUUCAAUAAAAUUAUUUUCAGAUCUAUAUCUAGCUACACUUUUAGAUACUUGAGCAAAAUUAUUCUCUCAGUGUUAGCGAAUAUAACCUUUAAAUAUAACGUUCGAAUCGAGGAAUGCAUAAUCAAACUAUUUGCAAUUUUUUAACCGAUACUGGAAGAGCUUGUCUCUACUCACUUAAGUUUAUUUAGCAAAAUCACCAGCGUCGGCGAUUGGCUAGUUUGGCUUGUUAAACGAUCAACGUAAUGGAUAAGCGGGAAUCCAGUUUAAUCCUAAAAUGCCGAAACUCACUCGGCUCCGCUUGCGAAAGCUGACUUACUUAAUUGCUGGCUUUUCUCCUUCAGUGGACUCUUUGUACCAUCCUGAUAAUUUCCUUUAAACACCGUUUAUUCCCGUCUCUCGUAGUGAGCACGUUCAAUCGUUUUGUGUAUAGAAAAGUGAUCGCGCCGUCCAUUAUCCUUUCGGUACGAUUAAUCCGAAUAGUCGUGUCUCUUUGUCAGAAUAACGCGAAUCGUACCGUAUUUCAUUGUGGUAUACGGCACUCCACAGCGCGAUAUUUCCGCGCACGUUGGUCGUGACAAAUAAUAGCACUUUGGGGCACUUAACGGGUGGAAAAAUGAAAAAGUCCCUCAAUCGCGUUCGCGCAAGUACACUUAAUAAUUCUAUCGCGCACGACGCGGCUUGAGUUAUCAAUAUCCCCCGAUAUAUAUCUAUAUAUAUACCAAUACAUCAAUUAAUUUGUCGUGCGUACGUAGGUGUGUGUGUGCGCGCGCGUGUAGGUAUAUAUAUAGCUUUAUUAUCGAAGCAAUGGACACAAAUAGAUUUAAAAUGAGUAUCAAAUCAGAUUCUUUGAUCUAUGAGGUCAUUUGAAAAUCAUCUAUGAAAGACCAGUCAAUAAGAGGAUCUUUGGGAACGUCAUUAUUUAAUUGUGUCUAUUAUUUUGAUAACGAAGCUCUUCAUAGGAACAGUUAUUUUUCCUUUUUAUCCGUAUGUUCACGAAAAUUUAAAACAUACUUAUCUCACCCUAUGAUUAAGUAGAUAUAUAGUGUGCUCUACUACGAGCUAAUUACCUUUGGUAAUUGCAUGGAAUGCAAAGUAUAUGUUUUAAAAGGAAUUACAUCGUAGAAAUGCACUCUAAUUUUUUAUUUGAUCCCUUUACGGGCACUCUUCAGUACGGUUCACGAGGAGAGCGCGGUAAAUUCGGCGUACGACGAAGUUGUACGUACUGGUUUUUUCUUCUAAUUUAUUAAACGAGGUUAUUGCCGUGGUCGGUUUCGGAAAAGCUGGGGAGUUAAUAAGCUGACAUUAACGAGUGUGAUCCGUGCGAAGCCCGUAUGUGCUUUGUUCAUUCUACUACACAUUUUUAUAUCUUGCAUUGUAAAAAUAUAUAGUAAAGUACUAUGUAUAACGAUUUUUUCGUCUUUUAAACACUAUUGACUCUUUCAUUAUUAUUUUCAAGUGCAUUCCAUUCAAAUAAUGUAAAACGUUAUCUUUUUCUCAGCUUCACGAUAUGGAAUCUCGUCUCUUGUUGUACAAUCAUUUUACUUUUAAUCGAAUUCAUCGAACAUUGAUUAACUAUUGUGAGCAAAUUAAUUUCUCAUUUCGAUAUGUUCUAAUGAAAAUCUCGGGGAUCUAAAUUUAAACUCCUCUCUGUUUAACUUCUUCCGCUCCUUAUUGUGCCUCGAUUUCUCAGAUAAUUUUAGAAUUCUGUUUCCGUCUCGUCAAUUUUUACGGCGGAUGAAACUAGACAGAAAAAGCUGAUUAAUUCAGUCAAUCGCGACGAGUCGGUCGUUAAAACCGUACCAAGAAAGUCUGCCGAUUUAAAUAGCAGUUAGAUCGAGGGGUUUUCUGACGUAAAGAGAAACCUGCGUGGCGCACGUCGGGCACACGCACGCGAUCACACGUGGGUUUUUCUUGGCGCAGGAUGUCGCGUAUCGAUCACUCCCUAGUCUCCAUGGUGUCUCACAUGACAAUAUGUCGCGUGACAGUGAUCAAGGGUUAACGGAGGAGAGGGCGGAGGAAAACAAAUAUAUUGGGCCAUAAAUUGUGGCUCAUUCCGGUGCCGGCCAUUAUUUACAAUCCUCCAUAUCGAAUUACUUUUCCAAGCAUUAUUUAUGGCGAUCCGAACUUAUACAAGGUUUUUCGAGCUUUGCUUUUGUUCGAGUCUCGGUGCAUCGAACGCGAGACGAGUGAUCGAUGCCAAGUACAUGGCAUUGUUACACGAGAUUGUUACACGAGAAAAAUUCGCGAGGAAACUUCGCAUUCGCGUUCCUCGCGGUAACGACCGAACUAUCGCAGAUAACAAAAGUUGGACGCGGAAUCGGAAAUUUUCGAAAUGUGAUAUCUUUUCCUAUUUGAAUCCUUAGAUUCAGGGAAUCCUCAUAUUCAUCUCAACUUUUCAAUUGUUAAUGCACGAAAAAAAAUGCAUCAUUCCAUGUUCGCGUUUGAGAUUUUCACAACACAAUAAUCCAACUAAACUAAACUAUACGCAUAAAAUGCACAUUUUUGUAUUACAUCAAAAAUUAUUGCAAAACCGUGUUGCAAUAAUAACCGGCAGUUGUUUAUGGUUGGAUUGAUAUUUCAAACUGAUUAUUUACAGUUCAGUGGUAAAAGCUCGCCAUGAUCGUGCCGCGAAUGCAUUCGCGAGCGCCGGCGCGCCCACCGAAAUGAUUAAUGACAAUCACGCACGAUAUAGACGCCGAGACGAUACGCAUCGCCGUGAAUCAACAUUCCGUUAUAAUACAUCGGAAAAUUAAUGCCGCGCCGGAGAAAAAGAAUACCGCGGAAACGUGCAUCAUGGGCAGAAGCAUGCCGCCGUUUACUAUGGAAAUGUAUUCCGCGGUCGUACAGUAGAUCGCCAGUAAUUCUGCAGGAGUCGCGGUGCUUGAUAAGUAAACGAAAUUAUUUUUGCGCUUAAACAUUAAUCAAAGAUGCAUCCGCCUGUGAAAAAAACCGCCGGGCAAUAAUUUCUAUUCCCUUGUAUUUACAUUUAAAAGGGUGCGCGGCGCGUAAUGCAACAGUCGCAAAUUUUAUGUGAACCAUACAUAUACGAUGCUAAGCCACGUUAUAAAGAUGAGAAGAAAGUAAUUCAGGUUGAAACCAAAUUACGUGCACUUGUUUAAUUGAAUCCGCGAGGAAAAAUAGUUAGUAUUUUACUAUUUAAUCUCAAGUCACAGCACAGUUAACGCAAAUGACUCAGUCGUGUACGCAGAAGGUAUCUAAAAAAUAAAGGAUGUAAACAGAAUAUUUUUAAUCGAGAUUUUUUUAAGUUGGGAAUUAUACGAAAUAUUUGAAGUUAUAGGAAACAACGCGUACGUACAAAAAAGGUGAAUAAAAUUUUCACUAACCAGAUCACUAACGAUCGAUAGAAAGUGCGUAACAAUCGCAUACAACUUUUAAGUGAAAGUGUUUUAUAUUUCUCGUGUAAAAUUCAACCGCACUCGAAUGCGGUUACGUCUGUGCCGUUUCCUAUCGACUUUGAUGAUCGAAAAUCCCUAACUAAAUCUGUUUAGCUUGCCAUCGUACUUUUACAGCCUCCGGCUUCGAUUGCAAGAGAGACCGGCCUUUUUUGCGCUUUAAUAUUCGAUACUUCGUGGUUUUGCGUAAAACGAACGCUAUCGCUCGUACUAUCUAUCGCUAUCGAGCGCGGUGUUUCUCAUAAAAAAAGAGAUACGCGUAGCUUUCGGCGUGAUAUCUGAUACCAUACGGCGCGAGAUUGGAUUUAAUGUGUAUUUUUUUUUCGCGUUUCGGCAAAAAAAAAUAUAGGGUGUUCCUCCCCGUUCUUCGACAUUCGAGAGGACGACGACGAAUAGAUUUUUCUCGACAGCUGUUUUUCAUGCCAUCGAAAUUCUACUGUAUCGAUCACCGACGAGGUUGCAAAAUUUCCCCGAGGUCCCUGGAUUUUUUUCCCCAUUUCUUCCUUUUUUUAAUCGCUGCCGCACGCUUUGUGCUACGAAAAUUUGAUAUCGCACAACGGCCGAUGGGCGCGCGUACCCGCCUUUGUCAGUUAACGUACUCGGUUGCCUAUUGAAAUCGUCACUGUUUUUUAAUUAAAACAAUAACGUGCAUCGUUCGCCUUUACACGCGUGAGACUUCCUCAUAAAAUUCCAAUGUACCACGAAGAAACCUUAUCUGUAUUUCUAUGAUUUGACAUAUGUCAAAGAGAGACUUUGAAAAAAAAAAAGGAGAAAGAAAGAGAGGUUGAGAAAGAAGGGUUGUAAGUUGAAAUUUUUUGAAUUAAGAAUGAAGAAAAAAUAUUCUGAGGCAAUUAUAAUGUAGUAGCUGAACUAAGAGAAGAUCUAAGUAUAGCCGCAGGCUAUCUUCUUCAUUUCUUUACGUUACAUGUGCAGAAGGCGAGAAAGACUUCGUACCCUGCCUCAACUAUCUCGGACAAGGUCUUUAAUUAACUCCGCUCUGUCCAGGUCAAUUGCCCUCCGUAAAGAGAAAAGAAACGGCGCGUGCUUUUGUAAGCGCGUAAAGUUCGGCUCUAGCACGACGAUCGGCAAUAUAAAAUUAUUUAACGAGAAUUGCCCUUAUUUCGAUUUACUGAUCGUGAAAAAAGGAUGGGAGAAAGAUGAGAAGAAAAAGAGGGAAAUUCGUUAAAUAUAAAUUGCGUUACAUUAUGCAACUGUAUUGUGUUAUAAUAUUACACAAAAUUGCGUAAUGUUAUAUGAUAUUGUUGUAAUUAACAUCCACGUUUUGACUUCUGUAUUAAUUUCAUAAAAAUUCACGUGACAAUUGGUUUGUUUCGUUAAUAACAUAACCGCGUGAAAAGCCCUCCGCCACAUCUACACGAAUUCAUAAUAAAAUACUGACUUAUUAAACUAUUAAACUUUAUAAAUACUGUUUUAAACGUGAUUUACUCAAGCCAUGUUGCUUUUAAAUUAGUUGCUAGAUGCAACUUGAAAGAUAUUCGAUCGCCAUGAGUUAGAAACGCAAAUGGUUCGCGUGACUUUUCAGUCACCCCAUAGCUCCUGGUACGCCAAAAGAAUUAUAGGCGCUUUAAUAGCGACGACUACAAAGGCCGCCAUCCGUUUUUCUUAUCCGCGGGGAGUUUAGAAGAGAAAGUCUCGUAACGAGUUCCGCGGCGGUGGUCGAUGCGUUUAAUUAACGCGAAACUCGCGUGAAAUAGAUUCAACUUCGCGGCUCGCUUGCAGCCUAUUCUUUGUCGAUAAUUCGAAACUGACAUCGAUAUUUUAUGCCGUUCGAAGUGAAACCUCCCGCGUCCAGUUUUAGUUGGUAUUUCAAAAGAAACGCGUUAGAGAUAUUUGCGGAGAAUCAAAUGAAAUAUAUUCGAAAGAGACUACGACCGGUCUUUAGGUGUAACAUGCGAUUUUUAUAACGUCCUAUAUACAGAUUCGAUCAAUGCGGGUAAAUGCACUCCGAACCAGACAUGAGAUAGAUCGUCCCGCUAUCAUGGCAUACUUAAGUCCAGACUAAAUAAUUCAGAAAUCAUUACUUCCUAUCGCACGCACGUCCGACCCUCACUAUUUCGCCGCGUUGUAUCGCGUGCGACAGAACGGGUGUCUCGACACACCGAUAUAAUCACCGGUUUUUUAUCAUCGUAUCAGCUUAACUUUCAUAUUAAAUUUUUCUAUCGUGAAACAUAACAAAUUUCUCGACCUAAUUUGUCUCAAUUAAAAAAUCCUUCCUACACUUCGGACAAUCCCUCCCCAAAUAAUCAAAAUUUUACUUCCACUUUGAUUCGAUUUUUUUUACGUACUAUUUUGAUACUUUAAAUAUUCAAAGUAAAAGUACCUUUUGUUGACUAUAAUAGGAUCUGUGGAGAAUUAAGAGAUCUUGCCUCUUCAAAAACCUCUUUUAGACCAUUAAAUUGGCAAAUUUUUUUAAUAACUACUAUUUUGAAGCACAAAGUAUUCAAUUUCCGUGACUAUGAUCUCUCGCAAUCCUCAGAAUCUAUAAUGCAUGCUAAAAGGCAGCAUGUAGUAGUAGAAAAAUUUCAACUCGGAUCACGGUGCAUCAUUUCAUCGCGCGUGAAUUAAAUAUAUACGAAUCUUAUAUUCUUUCGUUGAAUAAAUUAUUUAUACAUUCACGAAUUUUUUAUCGCCCUUCCUACUUCGGAGAUUGCAGAAUUUUCGACCACAUCACUUCCGGGUGCCGCUCGAAAUUUCUACAUCGGGAUUUCUCGCUGACGUACAAAUGUCUUCUCGUGAACGAAAAAAUUGCGCGUCGUAAGUUUAAUUGGCGGGAACGAACUAUGCAUGGGGGCAUCGUUGUGCCACGUUGUGUGAAGCGUUAUCGACGUGUGGGUGAGGAUGAGACAUGAUUACCUCCUCAAUUACCACUCAAUGCUGUCCUCUCCACAUAACGUUACGUACACUAUGGGUGAAAUUCACUCGUAUGUACUCUCGGCGACCCGCAGAGUCGAAAUUCCGCCGACGUCGAACUCGGGAUUUAUGCGAUUCUGCGAAGGGAAAGGAUCGACGAUAGAAUUUGUGUCGCGUAAAUUAUUUCUGCGAUGCGUUUCACCAGGGUUUCCUCUUUCGGUAAAAGUAAUUCGGAAUACAGAAUCUCUUCUCUCGCGAGUGAUUUAAAAAUCUACAGAUCUCUAAUACAUAUAAACAUACUCGUAUUUAUACAUAUGCAAAAAUGUUGUAAUUAAAAAAAAAACGCUGACCUAAAAUAAAUAAAAUUGUUGGAAUCUAUCGUCGCACACUGAAUAGAAACUCUUACGUAACCAUGUGGUGGCUAUAAUUAAUUUGUGACCGCAAAGUAUGCACUUUCCUCUUUGCUUAUUCGCAUCCCGAGCGUACGACGAGUGACCUUACGUUCUCUCGCGAUGACUCCGACUCGCGGCAUUCGUCGCCGGAGGAUUGCUUAAGUGCUAUAAUUAGUCGAACGUACGAAGUGCACCAUUAAGGGACGCGGCGGGUAGAAAAGUCCACCAGAAAUGGUCGUCGACCGUAAAACCUCCCACCGCUGGCUGUGGACAGCGAUUUUCGCAAACUGUCGCAUUCUUAAUGGCGCCAUCGCCAACGACCGCCCCGGCUUCGUUUGAAAGCCCGGACGAGACUCAAAUCUAUUCUAAUUCCUCGUUGAUAUUAACAUUUUCUCAAGCGGUUUUUAUUUGAGGCAGCGAACAGCGAAGUAAUAAAGGACGAGCAAAAGCAUCGAAGCAUGAACAACGAACAAUGUUAUUUCGAAUAAUAUUCUUCGACAAUAAACAAGAAGCAUAUCGUGCAAAUAACGUGUUAUUCUCGCAGAUAUUAUUUCAUAAAUAUUAUUUCAAAAUGUGAUAUGUUUGCAUCGACACUCAAAUAGCGAUGCACCACGUGUUUUUGCUCACAUUAUUCGUGUCAAUUAUAUGUACACUUGAUGGAAUCACGGAAAAGAGAUAUGCAAAUCGUUACAAUUAUGCUUACCCUUAAACAAAGUGUUGAGUAAAUUAACGUUCAAAGGAAUAAUUAAAAUUCAACAUCGCGUAAAAUUGCAAAGCAGCUGUCCACGCGCAUCUGACGUUGGAAAAAAACCGAGAGAGUAAUCGUAACACCGUAAACUAAGAAUAAUCAUCGUCGUGACCACAUCUCCGAUAAAAAUUACGCGAUGAGAUUUUCGACACGUGGAGCACGUAAUUUUUGUGUACAAAGACGCGAAAGCAUUUUCGUGAGAGAGAGACAAAGAGAAAAAAGGGAGCAGAGAACGUAACCAACGCGAUACACGCGAUUUGGCGAUUACGAUCUAAAAUGAACUCUAAAUAUCACGGUCAGAAUUUUGAGUGCCCCAAAAAUCUCUCAAACUUGUAAACUUUACUUAUUACACAAGACUUAAAGAUUUAUAAAACUGGAUUAUUGGAUUUUUAAACUUUCUGCGUUCUAGCUUUCAAAACUUUAAAUUUUUAUUAGAUUCGCUCUGAAUUUUUGGACUUUUAGUUAUCUCCUCGAACAUUUUUCAUUAUAUCGUUUAGGAUAUAUUGUUGGAACUUAAAUUAUUGAAUCUUCAGUCUGUGGAAUAAAUUUUUGUAUCUCUGGUCUUUGACCUUUGCGUGCCACGAUCCUCAGACGUUUAGAUUACGUUCUCUAGUCUCAAGAUGCUUGGUCUACCCCUUUCAAACAGUCCGUAACGUCUUGUCGAGCGGAACGGCGUUCUGCUAUAUAACGAGAGGAAUCCUUCCGGUACCUUAAUUUAAAAAAAGACAAGGCAAACCCUUGAUGCCCCACCGGAGGGUCAAAUCCGGCUCCGGUUCAAACCGCGUUUCUCUGGCCGCGAUUCCAUCUCUUUGCUACUUUUGUGCAUCGUAUUCUAACGUAAUUUAUAUACCACGCUCGUCUCGCGCAGCCGGUAACGAGUACGAGUACCGCGCUCGAAAACCAAAGCAAAUAUUUUUCCGAAGGAAAUCUUCGUGAUUCGCGCUCGCUAGAUGGUUUACUCGCUCGUGUGCCUCCCAGGCAAAAGAGGGAAUCGAACACGAUGACUCUCGCAAAGGUGAACGAACACUGUAGAACUCGCUGCAGCGUGUGGGUCUUCUCUCUCUCCCUUUCUCUCUUUUCGUGCGCUCUCUCUCUCUCUCUCUCUCUCUCUCUCUCUCUCUCUCUCUCUCUUUCCCUAACCCCGACCGGAUAUUUUUAACAAGCGGUUCGUGCCGAGACGAAACAAUGCGCAUCCCGCUCUGUGUGCACGCCUGUACACGCGCGAGCGAUAAGGCGCAUCGUUGCGGAGAACACGCUUUCCCACGGGAAGCCCCGGGAGAAAGGAACACAUCCCGGACCAGAGGAUUCCCUUAAAGUCUCAGAACUUCGCAUUUGACAAUCCGCGUUUUCCCGGCCAUCUCGACCUACUUUGCGAGGUGAGAUCCCUUUCAUUUAUUCCCUCUAGUCAUGGAACUCUUGCCCUUUCUUCUUUUUUCAACUCCGAAUUCACCGGGAAUAUGGAAGCGGCGCGCGACGCAGAGGCAGCGACGCCUACGUCGGUAUGCGGAUUCCGCGCGCGGAAAUAAAAGCGACACGACAUUUCGGCGACGACGGCGGCGGGCGGCGCGGCGCGGCGCGGCGCGACGAAAAUCUCGCAUUUGGGAAACCCGACGGUAGCGGCGCACCCCAGAGCCGAUCUAUCGCACCGCUGCGUCGGGAUUCCGAUGCAUCCGGGAUCUGGAUGCAGCUGCGAGAGAGAACGCGGGGGAGAGACAUGGAGAGAAAGAGAUGAGGCGAAUGAGAAAGCAAAAGGGGGCCGCAGACGCGAAUUCACCGGCGGGAUUGGAACGAUAGCGGGCGCGCCGUUACUCGAAAACCGGAACAAUACGUCGCGUAGGCGCCUUCGAGGGGUGGGAGGGAAAGAAAGGUAGCGAGGAGAAAAAGCUACGGAUGGCGUGUGUUACUCGUAAAAUAUGGAAGCCCAUAAAGACCGGGGCCGUGUGCCACGUCGGCGAAAAGACGCCGGCGAGAACUCGUGACUCCGGAAUUUCCUGUGUGUCAUCCGUGCACCUCUCCCUCACCGAUUCGCUCGCGAUUCGCAAAGGAGUCGCUCUCUCCCUCUCUUUUUAAUAAUUCGCCGAGGGAUCUUCCCCAUCUCCGAAAUAGAUAUUUUAUUUUAUUCCAUUCGCGUCUAAGCGCCCGGCCGGUGACCCGAUCGGAUUUAAUUACCGCUUCAAAUUACGAAUUUAUUUGUUAUCCCUGGACAAUCGAUAAUCGCGUUAAACAUGAUACGUGGAGCGAUGCCGUACGUCGUCGCAAAUCGUUCUAAAACGAAUAGCCUCUGGCGGCUGCCAGAGAGCUAUGCUUUGAGCAGCGAACCGGCCCGGCGCGACAAGCACGCGCAGCACUCGAUCGCGCCAAAGUGCGGAAGUGUGCCCGGUCGAUUCGAGAAUCGGAACGCGGUCGAUGGCCAAGUUCCCGCGUGUAAAUCCUUUCGCACUUCGAGACCGGCUCCCGUCUCGUCUCAAUUUCCAAAGAGAAUCGAAACUCAAGCCGCCGAAAUUCCUCGGAUAUCUGGCCAAUUUGCGACGAUCGCCGCGGGGCCAAAGGACACGCCGUGUCCUUUCCGGCACAGAGCCGCGGCCGGCGGUGCACACGGAGCGGUCAGACGCAUUGGCAGUUUAAGAUAGUUAGGCUGCCACGUUGAAAGUAGCGGUAUAUAGUUUGAGAUAGUUAGCGACCACGAUGAAUUUCCGCGCCGAGUCAAUAGCUAUAGAGACGUAUGGAAACGACAGUCCUCGGGGAGGAAAAGUUAGGGCUUUGCUCGGGACAUUUUGACAAUCUGCGAUUUGUUAAUUGUCCGACACAACCACGACGACCCCUCGCACGACGAUAGAAUUUAAACAAAAAUUAAACGAAUAAAUAAACAUCAAUUCUUAAGUCAGCGUUAGUGACCGUCAGCCAGCAAAGUUUCGUGACUUAAAGAAAAUUAAACAAGUCACAAGUCACAACGAUUUUGCGCGAAUGAUCGGAAGAGCAAUUAGAUUGCCAAAUAAUCUUGAUUGACGAUCUACACGCAUCGACUCGGCGCACCCAAUGGCUUACUGAAUCAUCGAUCUAAUGGCACAAGCCACUUUCAACGUAAUCCGUGCGCCAGCAACGGGAACCUGCAUCGUGCAUAAUUGAAUGCGAUACAUCACACGGAGGACGACGUGAUGCGUGGGCGGCGGUGCCGAAACACCACUGCGGAUAUAGUUGGUAAUAAUCUAUCGCCCGCAUAGAUCGGCGUGUCAUGCGAGCUGUUUUCGCGAUUAUCUAGGGACAAGCUCAGUUGCCCGGAAAGCGACAAGAAACCUGCGGCACCACGUGUAAUUGAAUUCGAUACAAUGUGGCCUACUACACCGGCCCGAGUCCGGGUUGCCUUGCUCUCCCGCGCGACAUACACCGCCGCGGAUUAAUUUCGCCCGUUAAUGAGAAUUGAUCGUCCGCGAGUAUCCGCCUGGUUACUGUCCGACUUUUCCGAUAUCGGGGGAGACACGAUCGAACCAAGUGUCACGCGAAAUUCUAUAUAUAGAAAUAGAAAUAAAUCAUUAUCGAUGGUAUAUCGACAUUAUUAAAUAUCGAAUGACAACAAUCACAUAUUUUAUCGCAAUUAGAUACAUAAAUAAUUAAUUCAAUAUUUUAGAAAUUAAUAAAUUGCAUCGUUUUAUCUGGAUAAUAAUUUAAUUUUUUUUAAGCCAUGAGCAGUAAAAUGUAUCUCUUUUUUCGCCUCGUCUCUUCUUUUUAAAGAUCAGCCUUUGAAUGUAUCCGAGCUAAAUAUUCCACAUUUCAGAAUUUUCCGACGGUUCCGUGUGUUUUUAAAUGCUGCUCUGUGCAUAAUUUAUUCAGCUCGCCGACUGCGCGUACGUGCAGUUGCACAGCAAACUACCGGUUCUAUCGGUGCGUCAUGCAAACUGUUUUCGAGGCUAUCUGAAGUCAUGCUGGUCGCGAAUACAGAUUUGCAUCGAGCGUAAUUGGAUCCUAUACACCGUUGCUUGCUAAGGCCAACAGGCUAUCGGUGCUAGUGUCCGCAAACACGACUCAAUCGAGCUAUCACCACGACCUUCGGUGCACUUAGAUCGAUACAUAUUACCAUGUAUCCCGCCUAUCCGAUCUCGAAGACGUAGAUACGAUUAUAUCCGUGAGAGAGACUUAACUGGAUCUUGUCUUAACGGGGAAAGAAGGAAGAAAAAAAAGAGGUAAAAUGAUCAUAUUAAAAAAAAAAAUUUUAAAUGAGGUAUGUAUUUUCGAACUGGCCUCGCGUAACGCUCAUAAAGAACUCUGGUCUCGUGAAAAUCUAUCCAUUUCCAAUCGGGAUCAUUAACAAUUAACGAAGCGCUGAUACAAAUGUAUCUGGGAUAUAAAUGAGCCUGAGGGACUGAAUAAUGAAGGUUCAGAGAAGCAUCCCGUUCAAAGAGAAAUCGAACGCAAAUUACACGAAAAUUGAGCCCUGUGCCCUAUUACCUACAGAUCUCUCUAUUACCUAUAGAUGCGGUGUUCUUCGCGAGCAAGCAGCUCGUCAGGCCAAGUAUUUGUCAAGCAACAACCAUUACGAGAGCGAAGAUUAUCCGUAAAUAUUUUCACGAGCGAGAGUCAGGUCUGUGAGUCAGAGCGUCGCCCGGUUUUCUAUUAGCUGCCGUUUCUCGGUUCAUCGGCUCGCUGAAAUUGGAAAUGGUCGUCGAUGGGUACCAGUCAGUUCUCUUAAUUCUCGGGUCUUCCCUUCCCCGACGGAGGAGGAGCGAAACCGGUUAUUUGCAACAUUCGUUCGACCGUGGCGAAGGUACAUAUUCGCGCGGCGCGUUGAUUUCCGAUGAUUUCUAGGACGAGGCAACGAGGUCCCGAUUACGUGAUUCACAGAAGCCAAACAGCCGAGUGAGGGCAAUGCAAACCCGUUAUUUCUCUCCCUCGUCCUUUUAUUCCCGAUACGUCUUUUUCCUUCGCCGCGAAUUACGAAACUCUCUCCGGGGAAUUCCUUUCGUUUUUUUGCUGACUUUUGACAAAAUUUGAAAUGUUCUCCCCUUCUCUACAGAAAUAUUUCGUUUCCUACGAACGUCAGUAUGCUAAUAGCAAAACUAUAGAGAACUGACGUUGUGUUCCUGCAAUCCUACUAUAUGUUAUCGAUUUAUUAUAACAGAGAGGAAACGUCGGAUGCCGAUUUUCCACGAGCAACUUGUUCGAAUUACUGUCAACCAUUUGUAAUCGUACGAUAUCGAGUUCCGUUUUAAAAAAAAAAAA